Molecule: ribosomal RNA, 207 nt
Filed under: uncultured bacterium
Lineage: Bacteria
Description: partial 16S ribosomal RNA
Rfam family: Bacterial small subunit ribosomal RNA
Source: RNAcentral
CGUGUAGGCGGUUUGUUAAGUCGAAUGUGAAAGCCCUGGGCUUAACCCAGGAAGUGCAUUCGAAACUGGCAUACUAGAGUACAGGAGAGGAUAGCGGAAUUCCCGGUGUAGAGGUGAAAUUCGUAGAUAUCGGGAGGAACACCAGUGGCGAAGGCGGCUAUCUGGACUGAUACUGACGCUGAGACGCGAAAGCGUGGGGAGCAAACA